CUACGGGAUGCACCAGUGGGGAAUCUUGCGCAAUGGGCGAAAGCCUGACGCAGCAACGCCGCGUGCGGGAAGAAGGCUCUCGGGUUGUAAACCGCUUUCAGCAGGAACGAAAAUGACGGUACUUGCAGAAGAAGGUGCGGCCAACUACGUGCCAGCAGCCGCGGUGACACGUAGGCACCAAGCGUUGUCCGGAUUUAUUGGGCGUAAAGAGCUCGUAGGCGGUUCGGUAAGUCGGGUGUGAAAACUUUGGGCUUAACCCAAAGCCUGCAUCCGAUACUGCUGUGACUAGAGUUCGGUAGGGGAGUGGGGAAUUCCUAGUGUAGCGGUGAAAUGCGCAGAUAUUAGGAGGAACACCGGUGGCGAAGGCGCCACUCUGGGCCGAUACUGACGCUGAGGAGCGAAAGCGUGGGUAGCAAACAGGAUUAGAUACCCCGGUAGUC
This 440-nucleotide ribosomal RNA is filed under the name uncultured bacterium. Its description in RNAcentral is "partial 16S ribosomal RNA". It matches the Rfam family "Bacterial small subunit ribosomal RNA", at positions 339 to 795 of the family's 1533-position model. The record is from RNAcentral.